CGGGAUGUAGCGCAGCUUGGUAGCGCACCGACUUCGGGAGUCGGGGGCCGCAGGUUCAAAUCCUGUCAUCCCGA
This 74-nucleotide transfer RNA is filed under the name Erythrobacter sp. Its description in RNAcentral is "tRNA-Pro". It matches the Rfam family "tRNA". Rfam says of the family: Transfer RNA (tRNA) molecules are approximately 80 nucleotides in length. Their secondary structure includes four short double-helical elements and three loops (D, anti-codon, and T loops). The record is from RNAcentral. RNAcentral also lists the same sequence under 4 other names. Lineage: Bacteria; Pseudomonadati; Pseudomonadota; Alphaproteobacteria; Sphingomonadales; Erythrobacteraceae.